GUGCACCAGGCGCGAAUCUUCGGCAAUGGACGCAAGUCUGACCGAGCGACGCCGCGUGCGGGAUGAAGGCCCUUGGGUUGUAAACCGCUGUCAGAGGGGAUGAAAUGCGAGAGGGCUAUCCCUCUCGUUUGACAGAGCCUCAGAGGAAGCACGGGCUAAGUACGUGCCAGCAGCCGCGGUAACACGUACUGUGCGAACGUUAUUCGGAAUCACUGGGCUUAAAGGGUGCGUAGGCGGUUUAGUAAGUAGGGUGUGAAAUGCCAGAGCUCAACUUUGGCACGGCGCUCUAAACUGCUAAAACUUGAGUGAGAUAGGGGUGUACGGAACUUCCGGUGGAGCGGUGAAAUGCGUUGAUAUCGGAAGGAACACCGGUGGCGAAAAGCGGUACACUGGGGUCUUAACUGACGCUGAGGCACGAAAGCCAGGGUAGCGAACGGGAUUAGAUACCCCUGUAGU
This 456-nucleotide ribosomal RNA is filed under the name uncultured microorganism. Its description in RNAcentral is "bacterial SSU rRNA". It matches the Rfam family "Bacterial small subunit ribosomal RNA", at positions 346 to 794 of the family's 1533-position model. The record is from RNAcentral.